Long non-coding RNA from Tachyglossus aculeatus (Australian echidna), 431 nucleotides. RefSeq lists it as uncharacterized. Lineage: Eukaryota; Metazoa; Chordata; Mammalia; Monotremata; Tachyglossidae. The record is from RefSeq and is a predicted model, not a curated record. The transcript is spliced from 3 exons.
UGGGGGCUCCCAGUCCCCACCUCUCCCCCGCAAAAACAUCCCAGCACACGCCUGGCUUCCGUCUGGUGCUGAGGGACAUCAUACAUGACCGUCCGUGACUUUCAAAAGUCACUUCCUCCCUCCUGUCCAGCUAGCUAAAACUUACUACUCCAGUCCAUCUCAGCUCAGAUAGGAAUGGCUUUAUAACCAAUGGGUUUGACGCAAAAGACAGACAACACAAGACGUGAAAAAAGCAGGUGAGAAUGUUGGCAGACUUGACAGACUGUCAUGGAACCAUCUGAAGCAAUCAUCUGGAUAAUCCUGGACAAUAUCUACCUUCAGAGUUUGCCAUUCUAGUCUCAUUGGAUGAUAAUUUCCAUCCAAUAUUAAUCAAGAUGCAAAAAUAGAUUGAAUAAGUAUACUAUCCCAAAGAACUCCCGCAUAGCAAAACA